GUACACAAAAAUGCACAUACUGUGAGCUCGAUGAGUAGGGCGGGACACGUGGUAUCCUGUCUGAAUAUGGGGGGACCAUCCUCCAAGGCUAAAUACUCCUGACUGACCGAUAGUGAACCAGUACCGUGAGGGAAAGGCGAAAAGAACCCCGGCGAGGGGAGUGAAAAAGAACCUGAAACCGUGUACGUACAAGCAGUGGGAGCCUCUUUUAUGGGGUGACUGCGUACCUUUUGUAUAAUGGGUCAGCGACUUAUAUUCUGUAGCAAGGUUAACCGAAUAGGGGAGCCGAAGGGAAACCGAGUCUUAACUGGGCGUUAAGUUGCAGGGUAUAGACCCGAAACCCGGUGAUCUAGCCAUGGGCAGGUUGAAGGUUGGGUAACACUAACUGGAGGACCGAACCGACUAAUGUUGAAAAAUUAGCGGAUGACUUGUGGCUGGGGGUGAAAGGCCAAUCAAACCGGGAGAUAGCUGGUUCUCCCCGAAAGCUAUUUAGGUAGCGCCUCGUGAAUUCAUCUCCGGGGGUAGAGCACUGUUUCGGCAAGGGGGUCAUCCCGACUUACCAACCCGAUGCAAACUGCGAAUACCGGAGAAUGUUAUCACGGGAGACACACGGCGGGUGCUAACGUCCGUCGUGAAGAGGGAAACAACCCAGACCGCCAGCUAAGGUCCCAAAGUCAUGGUUAAGUGGGAAACGAUGUGGGAAGGCCCAGACAGCCAGGAUGUUGGCUUAGAAGCAGCCAUCAUUUAAAGAAAGCGUAAUAGCUCACUGGUCGAGUCGGCCUGCGCGGAAGAUGUAACGGGGCUAAACCAUGCACCGAAGCUGCGGCAGCGACGCUUAUGCGUUGUUGGGUAGGGGAGCGUUCUGUAAGCCUGCGAAGGUGUGCUGUGAGGCAUGCUGGAGGUAUCAGAAGUGCGAAUGCUGACAUAAGUAACGAUAAAGCGGGUGAAAAGCCCGCUCGCCGGAAGACCAAGGGUUCCUGUCCAACGUUAAUCGGGGCAGGGUGAGUCGACCCCUAAGGCGAGGCCGAAAGGCGUAGUCGAUGGGAAACAGGUUAAUAUUCCUGUACUUGGUGUUACUGCGAAGGGGGGACGGAGAAGGCUAUGUUGGCCGGGCGACGGUUGUCCCGGUUUAAGCGUGUAGGCUGGUUUUCCAGGCAAAUCCGGAAAAUCAAGGCUGAGGCGUGAUGACGAGGCACUACGGUGCUGAAGCAACAAAUGCCCUGCUUCCAGGAAAAGCCUCUAAGCAUCAGGUAACAUCAAAUCGUACCCCAAACCGACACAGGUGGUCAGGUAGAGAAUACCAAGGCGCUUGAGAGAACUCGGGUGAAGGAACUAGGCAAAAUGGUGCCGUAACUUCGGGAGAAGGCACGCUGAUAUGUAGGUGAAGCGACUUGCUCGUGGAGCUGAAAUCAGUCGAAGAUACCAGCUGGCUGCAACUGUUUAUUAAAAACACAGCACUGUGCAAACACGAAAGUGGACGUAUACGGUGUGACGCCUGCCCGGUGCCGGAAGGUUAAUUGAUGGGGUUAGCGGUAACGCGAAGCUCUUGAUCGAAGCCCCGGUAAACGGCGGCCGUAACUAUAACGGUCCUAAGGUAGCGAAAUUCCUUGUCGGGUAAGUUCCGACCUGCACGAAUGGCGUAAUGAUGGCCAGGCUGUCUCCACCCGAGACUCAGUGAAAUUGAACUCGCUGUGAAGAUGCAGUGUACCCGCGGCAAGACGGAAAGACCCCGUGAACCUUUACUAUAGCUUGACACUGAACAUUGAGCCUUGAUGUGUAGGAUAGGUGGGAGGCUUUGAAGUGUGGACGCCAGUCUGCAUGGAGCCGGCCUUGAAAUACCACCCUUUAAUGUUUGAUGUUCUAACGUUGGCCCCUGAUCGGGGUUGCGGACAGUGUCUGGUGGGUAGUUUGACUGGGGCGGUCUCCUCCUAAAGAGUAACGGAGGAGCACGAAGGUUGGCUAAUCCUGGUCGGACAUCAGGAGGUUAGUGCAAUGGCAUAAGCCAGCUUGACUGCGAGCGUGACGGCGCGAGCAGGUGCGAAAGCAGGUCAUAGUGAUCCGGUGGUUCUGAAUGGAAGGGCCAUCGCUCAACGGAUAAAAGGUACUCCGGGGAUAACAGGCUGAUACCGCCCAAGAGUUCAUAUCGACGGCGGUGUUUGGCACCUCGAUGUCGGCUCAUCACAUCCUGGGGCUGAAGUAGGUCCCAAGGGUAUGGCUGUUCGCCAUUUAAAGUGGUACGCGAGCUGGGUUUAGAACGUCGUGAGACAGUUCGGUCCCUAUCUGCCGUGGGCGCUGGAGAACUGAGGGGGGCUGCUCCUAGUACGAGAGGACCGGAGUGGACGCAUCACUGGUGUUCGGGUUGUCAUGCCAAUGGCACUGCCCGGUAGCUAAAUGCGGAAGAGAUAAGUGCUGAAAGCAUCUAAGCACGAAACUUGCCCCGAGAUGAGUUCUCCCUGAGACUUUAAGUCUCCUGAAGGAACGUUGAAGACGACGACGUUGAUAGGCCGGGUGUGUAAGCGCAGCGAUGCGUUGAGCUAACCGGUACUAAUGAACCGUGAG
RNAcentral lists this ribosomal RNA (2559 nucleotides) under Escherichia coli. RNAcentral describes it as "partial 23S ribosomal RNA". It matches the Rfam family "Bacterial large subunit ribosomal RNA", at positions 375 to 2915 of the family's 2925-position model. Lineage: Bacteria; Pseudomonadati; Pseudomonadota; Gammaproteobacteria; Enterobacterales; Enterobacteriaceae. The record is from RNAcentral.